RNAcentral lists this ribosomal RNA (300 nucleotides) under uncultured bacterium. RNAcentral's name for it is "bacterial SSU rRNA". It matches the Rfam family "Bacterial small subunit ribosomal RNA", at positions 30 to 313 of the family's 1533-position model. The record is from RNAcentral.
AUUGAACGCUGGCGGCAUGCUUUACACAUGCAAGUCGAACGGCAGCACAGGGAGCUUGCUCCUGGGUGGCGAGUGGCGCACGGGUGAGUAAUACAUCGGAACGUGUCCUAUCGUGGGGGAUAACUGAGCGAAAGCUCGGCUAAUACCGCAAUAACGACCUGGAGGGUAGAAAGGUGGGGGAUACGGAAACGACCUCAUGCGUAGUUGGAGCCGGCCGAUCGCCCGUAUUAGCUAGUUGGUGAGGUAAAGGCUCACCAAGGCGACGAUCGGUAGCUGGUCUGAGAGGACGACCAGCCACAC